Fundulus heteroclitus (mummichog) is the source of this 616-nucleotide long non-coding RNA. RefSeq lists it as uncharacterized. The record is from RefSeq and is a predicted model, not a curated record. NCBI's taxonomy places the organism in Eukaryota, Metazoa, Chordata, Actinopteri, Cyprinodontiformes, Fundulidae. The transcript is spliced from 4 exons.
ACUGUCUGCAGAGCUGUUCUCAGGACUGCUGCUGCUUUCUCUUUGCUCCUCUUUCUCUUCUUCAGUCUCCUGGAGCAGCGAGGAUCAUUGGACUCACAGCAACAGAGGAGACGGGAGAAGAUGAUCUGCAGGAUCCUGCUGCUCAUCAUCCUCAACUCAUGUCUCUGUGCAACAUUUGUAGUGAAUGUGACACAGAGCUCCUAUCAGGCAGAGGAGAACCACAGCAUCACUCUGGAGUGGACCUUCACCACCACACCUGAUCGACCCUGGAGAGAUCUGUUCAUCCUCUGCAGCUUGUUAACUCCUAGGAAAGAAUUAUUCCUUUAUCAGGUCCAUGAUGGUGUUGAAGUGUCAGAGUCUCAGGAUGAACAAUUUUCAGGACGAGUCCAGAGUGACAAAGACGUCCUCAGAGAAGGACGAAUCAGACUCCAUGUGUCCAGACUGAGGACUAAAGACUCUGGUCUGUAUCUGUGUGAUGUUCAGACUGAUGAAGGUUCUGGUUCUGGAUCCUGUCGACUCAACGUCUCUGCUGCUGAUCAGCUCCAACCUCACACUGAGAAUCCACAACCAGACCAUCGAGGAAGAACUAGUCUUUAUAUUUUUCUGGGUCUAUUAG